AAAUUCUCAAAGCAAGUCUUUUGUUAAUUCAAUCGGCUCUGCUUUGGACUUGGGGGUCUGCAGAUUCACGUCUGCUCCUCUUAAAUGUAUUAGCUGGAUCUCCAUGAACUUGGUUCCACUCGGCGUGAUAAGUAUCACUCGCUGAGGACACCCGUAAAAAGGUGGCCAGGCUUGAGGAUGAGCCGCUUCUAAUAGUCCAUUGACUUGGACAAAUUAAAAAUUUAUG
This 226-nucleotide unclassified non-coding RNA is filed under the name uncultured Ceratobasidiaceae. RNAcentral's name for it is "sequence contains ITS2". Lineage: Eukaryota; Fungi; Basidiomycota; Agaricomycetes; Cantharellales; Ceratobasidiaceae. The record is from RNAcentral.